This 442-nucleotide ribosomal RNA is filed under the name uncultured bacterium. RNAcentral describes it as "partial 16S ribosomal RNA". It matches the Rfam family "Bacterial small subunit ribosomal RNA", at positions 339 to 795 of the family's 1533-position model. The record is from RNAcentral.
CUACGGGUUGCUCCAGUCGAUAAUAUUCCACAAUGGUCGAAAGACUGAUGGAGCGACGCCGCGUGCAGGAUGAAGGCCUUCGGGUUGUAAACUGCUUUUUUUAGGGACGAAUUUCGUGACGGUACCUAAAGAAUAAGAGGUUACUAACUCUGUGCCAGCAGUAGCGGUAAUACAGAGACCUCAAGCGUUAUCCGGAUUUAUUGGGCGUAAAGAGCAUGUAGGCGGAUAUAUUAGUCAGAUGUCAAAUCUUCGAGCUCAACUCGAAAACUGCAUUUGAAACGGUAUAUCUUGAGAGAGUGAGAGACUAAUGGAACAUAUGGUGUAGCAGUGAAAUGCGUUGAUAUCAUAUGGAACACCAAAGGCGAAGGCAUUUAGUUGGCACUCUUCUGACGCUGAGAUGCGAAAGCGUGGGUAGCGAAUGGGAUUAGAUACCCCAGUAGUC